RNAcentral lists this ribosomal RNA (500 nucleotides) under uncultured bacterium. Its description in RNAcentral is "partial 16S ribosomal RNA". It matches the Rfam family "Bacterial small subunit ribosomal RNA", at positions 30 to 523 of the family's 1533-position model. The record is from RNAcentral.
AUUGAACGCUGGCGGAAUGCUUUACACAUGCAAGUCGAACGGCAGCACGGACUUCGGUCUGGUGGCGAGUGGCGAACGGGUGAGUAAUGUAUCGGAACGUGCCCAGUCGUGGGGGAUAACGUAGUGAAAAUUACGCUAAUACCGCAUACGACCUAUGGAUGAAAGCGGGGGAUCGCAAGACCUCGCGCGAUUGUAGCGGCCGAUAUCAGAUUAGGUAGUUGGUGGGGUAAAGGCCCACCAAGCCAACGACCUGUAGCUGGUCUGAGAGGACGACCAGCCACACUGGAACUAAGACACGGUCCAGACUCCUACGGGAGGCAGCAGUGGGGAAUUUUGGACAAUGGGCGAAAGCCUGAUCCAGCCAUUCCGCGUGCAGGAUGAAGGCCCUCGGGUUGUAAACUGCUUUUGUACAGAACGAAAAGGUUUCUACUAAUACUAGGAGCUCAUGACGGUACUGUAAGAAUAAGCACCGGCUAACUACGUGCCAGCCGCCGCAGUAA